GACGAACGCUGGAGGCGUGCUUAACACAUGCAAGUCGAACGAUGAAAUGGAGCUUGCUCCAUGGAUUAGUGGCGAACGGGUGAGUAACACGUGAAUAACCUGCUCUUAAUUUUGGAAUAACUCAGGCAACCUGGUCUAAUACCGGAUAAGUAAACCUGUGGCAUCACUUGGUUUUGGGACGUUUUUCGAUUAAGGAUGGAUUCGCUGCGUAUCAGCUUGUUGGUGAGGUAAUGGCUCACCAAGGCGACGACGGGUAGCCGGCCUGAGAGGGUGAACGGCCACACUGGGACUGAGACACGGCCCAGACUCAUACGGGAGGCAGCAGUGGGGAAUAUUGCGCAAUGGACGAAAGUCUGACGCAGCGACGCCUCGUGAGGGACGAAGGUCUUCGGAUUGUAAACCUCCUUCAGCAGGGACGAAGCGAAAGUGACGGUACCUGCAGAAGAAGCACCGGCUAACUAUGUGCCAGCCGCCGCGGUAA
This 481-nucleotide ribosomal RNA is filed under the name uncultured bacterium. RNAcentral describes it as "partial 16S ribosomal RNA". It matches the Rfam family "Bacterial small subunit ribosomal RNA", at positions 28 to 523 of the family's 1533-position model. The record is from RNAcentral.